Molecule: long non-coding RNA, 1198 nt
Organism: Sinocyclocheilus anshuiensis
Lineage: Eukaryota; Metazoa; Chordata; Actinopteri; Cypriniformes; Cyprinidae
Product: ly-6/neurotoxin-like protein 1
Source: Ensembl
CAUCUUUGUGUGUGUCAAUAAUCAGGUAUCUCUUAACUCCCCAAACCAGAUUGCUCUGUUCAUUCUUCACAUUCAUAUGCAUCUUUCCACUUGCACAUAUUCAUUGUCUCCCCUCUUGUCAAAAAAACCCCGCCCUCUCUAUCACGGCCAUAUAUCUGGACAGAUUCGGACCAGCAUCCAGUGUGCUUGCUGUCCUCCAAAGAGUUUCUCUGCUGUCAGAAUUCAGUUCUGCUGAACGCGUCAUCAACAUGAUGAUCAGAAUUGUGCUUGGAGUCAUUGCAGCGAUUGGAUUCCUCACUCUCAGUGAAGCCCUGACGUGUAAUUCCUGUAAAGUGGGCAUUCUAGGCAAAUGUUUAUUCAGUUCCCAAGUGUCCUGCGCUGCCUCCGAGACCAACUGCUACACUGCCAAAGCAGAGUUCAAUGUGACGGGGUUUUUGAGUCUGUCCUCCAGUGGGUGCACAUCUGAUUGCAACAACACCGCUGGAAGCAUCCUGGGUGCGGGAUACACGGUGACCAAAAGCUGCUGCGCUGUAAAUCUGUGCAACGGAGCGAGUGCUGCACAGCUGUCUGUGGCUGGGGCUCUCAGCGCCGCACUGCUGGCCUCCGUCUGGAGCAACUCCAUGCUGUAGAUCUAACACCUCCAUGUCUGUGCAGUGUUAUGUUCACAGUAACUCCCUGAACUGGAACCAGUGAAGAUAUCAUCUCUAGAAUGUAUAGAUACCAUAACUUUGAUUGUUUACUCCACUGUGUUUAUCGGUCACAUUAUCCCACUUUUCUUAUAAACAUUUAAUUACAAUGUAAAACAUAUUUAAAAUUUCAAAACUUUUGCUGAAGUUUUUUUUUAUUUUUUAUAAAAACCUACAUUUGGAUGCACACUGUGGAAUAAGGUGAUGAUAUAUUUGAAGUGGAGCUGAAUAAAUUUCACAGCAGUGACUCUGUGUUAGGUACUGUACUUUUACAUUUACUAGUAAAUGAUGACAACUAUCCCCUGACUUUAUAUAUAUAUUCAAGCACAUUGUAACAUUAGACUAGAUUAAUAAAUAUAAACUGAAAAAAAACCCUGUUAUUUCAGUUAUGUUUUUGUUAGUAUUACAGUUUUUGCCUAUUGCUUGAACACUUUUUGCAAAACUUCGGCUCAUUGUGUCAAAACUUUACAGACAAGCACACAAGACACAACACUGGGAAAUAAACCAUUCAC